CCCAUUUUUAAUGGGUUUUUUAAUGAGUUUAAGUUAAAAUAAAUUUGAGUAAUGUUUUUCAUUUUACAGACAAUUACUUGACAAACUGUAUUAUCUUAGAUACAAUUGGUAAAUUGUCAUAUUGUCAUAUUAUUUAUACAAUAACCCACGUGAAGCUCUUGUCUCAGUCAAUGGCGUGAAGCAGCUGUGCUUGUAUGUCUAGGCAUGACCUAUCCAAAUUUGUUGUCACAUAUACACAAAUAUACGUAUGUUGUGAACUGAGGUUGGCUCGGUUGAAAAACCGUAUUUUAGAGUUGACGUUAUCAUUUGGCUUAUUUUUUUUUAAUUAUUAAAUAUAUAACUCAAGAGAUUAAAGUACAAUAAUCUAUUAAACUAAAA
This is a non-coding RNA of Drosophila virilis, 378 nucleotides long. NCBI's taxonomy places the organism in Eukaryota, Metazoa, Arthropoda, Insecta, Diptera, Drosophilidae. The record is from RefSeq and is a predicted model, not a curated record.